UCUUCUUCACUUCCCGAUUACGAUUCAACCUAAUCACCAAAAUCGAUUCAAAAUCAGAUUAGAAAUUUGAAUCAGAUCUUAGUAAGGAAGCUGAAGAGACCAAAGAGGAAUCACGCGAACGCUCUCACCUCUGUGGAAAUAUUCAAAAGGGAACCGAUAUUUGAAACUAGCCGGGAAAAGACUUGUAACAAAACCAAAAGGACAAAAGAUUGAAAUCUAUUUUAAAUUACGAGCGGGUUGAUCCGGAUUAGAAUUUUGGACCCAACGAAGCCCAAUUAAAUCUCGGCGAAGGCCCAUUAUUUCUGGUUCCGUACAGGAGAAGAAGACGAUUUUAGUUGAGUAAAAGUGAUUCAGGUUUUAGUGAACAUAAUUCUUUUUUUGUUAUUGAAGAAAUUGUGCUUGGUUCAAUAAGAAAAUUAGUGAACCUCUUUUUUUUUUUUUUUUUUUCUACUGCGGAAAUCUUCAUCAUACUGUUGUCUCAUUCCAAGUCAAAUUAUUCUAUCUUCUUGUGAUAUCCUAGAGCUGGCUACUUUUUCAUACAUGUAUUCUCAUUUUCGCUAUCUGAGUAAUGGUUGUAUACUUGUAUUGCUUAGUCGUUGUUUUUUAUCUGCGACAUUAGGAUACCAUAAUGAACAGUUGGUUAACCAUAUUGCUUCUAAAGACUCCAUGUUUCGUCAUUUUCUGUGUUGUGAAAGAAUUUGUCUUGUAAGAAAGUAAACCAAGCUUGGUCUUUUCCCCCUACGCUGAGCCAAAUCAGCUGUCUUUCUCUGCGGAAAUUGGCAUUACCAGGGUAAUAUUAAUUUCCAAUCUGUGGUGUGUUCUCGUAUUCACUUCUUGUUUCCUCACAUCAAAGCUUUUUGUUUCUCAUACAACAUUUAUAGUGUUUGUGGGUCUCUGCGUUUUUUAAUAGGUGUUACAGUGUUGCUAUGUGGAAUUGCUAUUGCGUUGUUUGGGAUCUCUCUGUCAUGCUCCUACUGUGAUGUUGUUUGACUUCAUUUGAACCAAGGUAAAUCAUA
Molecule: long non-coding RNA, 1016 nt
Filed under: Brassica rapa (field mustard)
Lineage: Eukaryota; Viridiplantae; Streptophyta; Magnoliopsida; Brassicales; Brassicaceae
Description: long non-coding RNA (BRAP_LNC003666)
Source: RNAcentral